CGGGGCGGCAAAACGUCCGCCCGGGCCCGAGGCGGGCGGAGGCAGCUGUGGUUACGUGCGGGGGGCCGGUGACGCAGUCGCGGGGCGCUGGGACGCGGCUUGCGGAGCCGGCCGGCGAGCGCAGGCCCCAGGCUCGGGCGCGGCGGCGGGACAGCACCUACCUUCCCGGCUUCGGGUCCGGGAGUGCGGGGCGCGGAGCCGCCGGAGCGCUGCCUCCCUCCUUCCUCCUCCCCUCGCCCCCGCCCCGCGGCGCGACACACAAUACUCGCCGGAAGCGGAAGCCGCGCCGAGGCUCGUGUCAGUGGAAGCUGGGGUGUCGGCGGGCGGCCGCGGCCGGGUCUAGCGGUGCCUGCGGAAGAAGGAGGAGGAGGGCUGGCGAUGAGAAGCAGCAGGGGGAAUCAAGGGCAAGAAGGGACCCAGAGGGGCAGGUGGCUGAGAUGCUGGCGUCCAGGUGACCCGAGGAAUCCUCUGGAGAUACAGGCCCGCGCAUGCGCGUGCUCGAGCGCUGAAGCCCAUUGCCCGCAGGGCGCUGGACUGGCGCCCCGGCCGGCGAGGCUGUCUAGUCCAGGCUCCAGGCCCCGGCUCUGGCCAGGCGCCGCCGCCUCCCGGUGCAGCUGAAAGUCGACGAAGAGGGCGGGGCGGGGGCGGCUUGUGGACUUCCACACUUUUCCUCUCUUCGGGCCAGUCUGGGGAGAGGGUGGCUAGCUGUGGCGGCGGCCAAUUACGUGGCGGACCUGCGGGGCUAAGCUGGCACGUCACUUCCGACUAGUGGAGUUUUUAGCCUUUUAACAUUCAAGGAUUAGAGCUCCCUCUUUGCCCACUAGCAGGGCAUUAGCUGGUGCUGAAGACAGUGGCUGCUUGGCGAGCCUGGAUCUCCAAGUGACCCCCUCAGCAACUCCUGAUGAACAGGACUGAAGCCAAUAUUAAAGCAAGUCAACCAAAGGUUCUCUGGUGUAGACAAGACAGCAAAAGGACAGACUACCUUGUGGAACCUAGCAUUGUUCUCCUUCUGCAGCACUAAGUAACAUUUGUUCUCCGUUAAGAUCUUUGCAAACCACACACAAGAAUUGCUGGUCAUCCUGCCAAUAGAUGCUGCUCACAGAACCAAAUUUCCUGUGCUGAAUUGUCACUCAUGGGCUUGAGAGUAGGAGACUGGAGACCAAGGUGGCUAGAAUCCAGUUGGGCCUGAUGUCUCCCUGUUGAAAGGGCUCCUUGUGGAAUGAAUAGCACAUGGCUCCUGUGGUGGAUCUGAUAGUGGCAUAGCACCAAGUGAUGCAGGCCUGCCAGGGGCCACAGACACAGAAGAUGCUCCCGGGGUCCCCCAUGUACUCCAGACACACUGCAGGCCACCUCUCCCAGCAGGUUGCCAGUCAUGGGCCCCAUCAUCAUGACUUCUGUCCAAGGUGUGCUCGGAAAUCUCUUCCUUAACUGUGACUUUCUGACAGGUGGAGGAUGUGGUCAGGAGUGGGAAAAGGAUUCGAGACGGGAAGAGGGAGGGGUUCAGGAUGAAGAGAGAUAAUCUGUGCCACAGAUGCUGGCCCUGCAGUUAGCUCCCACCUAGUCCGUGCACACACAUUCUAAUCCCCUCCCAUUCCUUUACAUGCUGCGGCCAGAGAGGCCUUUCUCAAAGUGGAAGUCUCAUCCUCACUUCUCUGGUUACAGUGCUGGGCCAUGGUAACUUACAAGGCUUAGCAGGAACUGUCUGCGCACUCCCCCUUCCUGCCCACUACCUUGUUUCCCUCCAGUUGCGAGAGAAAACAUUGAUUGAGCAUUAACUAUGUGCCAGGCUUGUCCUAAGUCCUUUGCAUGUAUUCACUCAAACAAUCCUCACAACAUUCCUAUCACAUCUCCCAUUUCACAGUGAGGGUUCUAAAGCACGUAGUGGGUGAGGAACUUGUCCAGGGUCACACAACUAAGUGGGGGUGGAGAAACAUCAAAUCUAGGUGGUCCAGGUGGUGGCCAGAACCCAUCAGCACCUCACUACAGCUGCCUCCAGUUUCUCGCUCUAGGAAAUACUCUUCCCUGUCAACUCCUGUUGUCCUCUGGGCUCAGUUGACAUGUCAUCUCCUUGAGGAGGACAUCCUGAGAUGCUCCCCGACUAGGGUGGGCACCCACUUCCACACUCCAAAUGCCUAUUUGACCUGUGUAUCGCUGCAUCCCCACUGCCUGGCAGAUAGCAGGCCCCUAAUAAAUAUGAUUUGAGCAAAUAAAUAUAGUUCUUCAAAAAAUAGGGAGGACUUCUUGCUUCAGGUAAUGGUAGGCUAGGACAUUUGGACCAACCCUCCUGCAGAAAAUAGCCAUUUAUUUUGAUGCAAUAUAUCUGGCUAUGACUAGAGAUUUCAAAUAUUUGGAGGGCUAUUAUGUGAAGAACUAAACUUACUCUUUGUGACAUAGAGGUCAGAAAUUGGUCGUUUCCAUAGAGUAUGAGAGAGACAGAAUUGUGCUCAUCAUAAGUAUCUUUUUUAAAAGUUAGACUUAAUAAAAUGGGCUGCCUUGGUAGGUGGUGAGUUCUCUGUCACGAAAGAGAUUCAGCCACUUGCUCUGAGAAAGCAUGGAGAAUAUCAACAUUGUAAGGGUCGACCACCUCAUCUCUGAGGCCCCCUCCUCACUUAGGUUGCCAUUGCAGGUGGAACACUGGGCUGAGUGUCAAAGAACCUGGGUUCCACAAGCUGUGCGACCAUGGCUGGUUGUUUUGGAUCUCAUUCCUAAUAUCUGUUAGUUAAGCUGACCCGUCAAUACUGACCCACUUCACAGAGUUAUGAAGGGAUUAAAUUAGGUAUUACAUGUAAAUCUGUUUUGUUUGCUUUUUGUUGUUCUUUUUUGUUUUGCUUUUUUCUUUGCAUUAUGAAAUCCCAAGUCAACUUUUUCCAUUCUUUUAUUUUUUUAAAAAUUGACAUCAUCAUUAUAACCACAAAAUAAUUUUUAAAAUGGAAAAAAAAAACUCACCUGCAACCCCACAAUCUAAUACAAUAAUCAUACUUUUUUCCCUUUAUUCUCCUUUAUUGUGACCAAGGAUGACUUUGGGCAUUGCUGUGAGGAACUAUUUCGUUUAACACCCUACUACCUGAACAUGAUGCGUACUCAGCCUUUCACCACCCCCCAAGUAGCUACACAUGAUGUGAUAAUAGUAUUGGUGGUGGUUUUAGAGAGUUGGAGAGAAAACUGAAGUUGGAUUUGGGUAAAAGAAAAAAGAGUGGGAAUUAUUUUUUCUCCAUUCUAAAGCCCAUAAAGCAAUGUUAAUUGUUCCCACCCCUCUGCUAUUCUGUCUCCUCAGGUACUGUGUGCAGAAAUGUGAUUGAGAUUCAAGUCAGGGCCUCUCUGCCCUUUUCCCUCCAGAAACAAAACCAAGAUAAUUUAUCCUGAACACGGUGAAAAAAGGAAGGGAGGGAGGAGAAAAAGUCCGGGUCUCACCUGGGAUUCUCUGUCUCCUGCAACAUGAAGGAUUUAGCCUGGGAGGAGGUGGUGAGAACUCUGGGAGAGAAAAAAGAAGGAAAGAAUAGUUUUACCCAUGCUGAAGUUAAUUUAAACCUUCACCUAGAGAAGCAAAAAAAAAAAACCCACACUUUCCCAUUUUGUGCCUCCCUUCCUAGAGUUUUAGCCAAAGGUUUAGCUAAGUAAUUGGUUUUACCAGCGCACUCACUCCUCCUAUCCCAAGUCUGUUUGACUCCCUCCCCAUCAUCCUCCUCACCUCUUUUCAGGCAGGGUGGGGAUAGCAGCAGGAGGAGAUUUUGGGAGCCUGGCAACUCCUGCAAGGACCGCAGGACAGCCCCUCUGUGGGGAUGCGUGGUGCCCCAUCUGCCGCCCUUCUGAAGAAUGCACUGCCUUCACUUUUUACUGUGUUAGAGUCCAUCCAGACUGUUCUAUCCAAAAAAGUUUCUUUUUCCCCCACAGGCAAUCAGGAAAUGAUUCCUUUCCCGACUGCUUCUGUCUAGUGCCUGGGAAUCUUGAGUCAAUCCCUCAGUAAGUCAGUGACUAGGGAAAUCCCUCUCUGAGCCUCCCAGUUCAUGUUGCUUAGGGAACCUGAUAUUUUCGUGAAACCUGCCUACACAUGGGCAGCCCAACAGCAGAACAAAUGGUGGUGACCAAAGUGAACAAAGAAGUAUAGUUGUGCCAGCUUCGUAGUUGCCCAUGUGGACAAGUCAGCAGGAUCAGGACACGAGGAAGAGUAAAUGUGAGACAGUCAAUGUGACUUCUGCGAUAAACAGAUUUUUAAACCCCGAAAUUUUGCAAAAUUUUGGUGAAACCUGAACUUUCUUCGUUGCAUAUACUGGCACUAUCUGUACCAUCAUACAACUGUCUCACAUUAAAGCUAUUUUUCUUGGGCACUGAUGAGUAAGGUUGGUAUAAGUUCCUCAGAUCAACAAAAACCCAUUUUCCUGUAAGUCUUACAUUUAGUAUUUAAGGAACUAAAACUUAAAUACAUUUUGUGAAAUGGUUGACACUUCACUGAUAAUGAUUUAUUGCUUGGAUUAAUAAAUUUUCCAAAAGUUGUCUUAUGUAGAAUAUGGUUUGCAACCAGCAGAACCAUUAAUCUAUACUGCAAUGAUAUGCACUAUGUAUAAUUGUUUAAAAGCCUCUACUUAAUGAUGUAAAAUGCUCUAUUUAAUUACACAUUUGGGUAAACUGUAUACUAACAUCUGAUGGCAUUUUUCCACUGUUUGUUGCUUUUUUCAAAUACUUUAUUGUACAAAGCUGUUCUUAAUAUUUUUCAAGUUUUUUUCUUUGAAUUUUGCUAAUGUUUUCCUUGAAUUAUGAGCACUGACAGAAUGUGCUUAGCACUUUUGGCUAUUCACACAGCUUUUGAGCAUGAUUUGCAUCCAAUAUUUACAUUGCUAGCAAUAAUAAGCCAUCUGUGAGUUUUGUCAAAAGUUAUUGGGGAUUUUUUAAAUUUUAGAAAUGCAAAUUAUUGUUUCUUUGAACUAACUCUUAUGCAGUUGCAAAGGCAUUUCCAGUUGUUAUAGUUUGUGUACAAUAUCAGGUGUUCCAGAUUAUGAUUCAUUAUUAAUAUCAUUGCUUCCUUGUUCCCUCUGAGGUCCAGAAGAUUCAUGUUUACAAUAUUUAGAAACAAUGUUAAAAAGGUAUCCAAAGUUUGUCACUUUAUUAUUAGUUUGUUCUUAAUAUUCUGUUUAAGUUUUUGAAUUCAUAGAUAUCAAAACGCUGCACAAUUAUGAUUUCCACAGGAAUAACAACACACUAACAAUAAGAACCAAAAACAGCAAAUAGGCUGCCUACAAGUUUUGACAAUAUUAGGAUAAUGAUAAUGACAGUUUUUCUAAAUCUCACAGUAAAGAAUGCAGCAACCCAGCAACACUGCUACCUGUGGCCUCAGGCUGCAGUGUCAGCUCUUCCCUGGGUCUCCAGCCUGCCAGUCUAACCUGAAAAUUAUGUACUUGCCAGCCCCCACAGUCACGUGAGUGAACUGGCCCAGGCUGGUCACCAGGGUCAGUUUCUCUGUGUGUCAUUAAUUCAUUCAGUCUUCAGCAGUCUCUUUGGAGCUGAGAUGUACCUACCAUCUGCCUUUUGGGUGCUUAGGGUGGAGAACCAGAAAAGUAUAACCUAGUGUGUAUCCUCAAAGAGCUAACAAUAUGGGGUGGUACCUAUAGGUCUGGAAACACUUUACUGACUCUGUGAGGCAUACCAGGAGACGUCAGAGAACAGUCCCUCCUCAAAUGCCAAAUGAGAUGCAGAAGAAAUAGUUUGCUCAAGUUCAUGGGCCAGAUAUCCCAGUGGUCAGGGAGUUUCAUGAAUGAGAUGGAACUUUGCAUGGAACCCGAGGGAUGUGUAUGAUUUGAGUAGAUGAAGAAAAUGAGACUUUCCAAGCAGCUAGAAGUUAGGGAGCAGCAAGAUGUGUGGUGGGAUUGAGCACAGUUGGUUCAGAGGAUAGACUGCAGUUUUAAUAAUUUGUAGUAAAUAUCUCCCAACUGUUUGGCACUAUUGGAGCAAGUUCUUGAAUGCCAAAUGAAGGCAUAAAUCAGUAAGAGGCAUAAUAAAAGGCUGAGCAGUGCUUGGCUUUUUACGAACUGAUCCUGAUAGGAGCAGCUGUUCAACAAAGUUGCCAGGUCACCGUUACAUAGUCCCUGCCUUCUAGGGGCUCACUGCCUACUGGGAGAGACAGUCUGAAAGUUGGUGGAGCAUGUAACUGUUGGAUGAGGACUUUGAGCCUGUGGACUGUGGGACCCCCGAGGAGGGUGUGGCUACUCUAGGCAGAACAAUCCCACAGUUUAUUUAUAUUUAACCUUGAAAUUCAUUAGAGGAUUUUUCAGCAGAGGUUUGGUACUUGUUAAUGUUAAGGUUUGCAUUCUCUAGAACCUCAAGGAAAGCUGUACCGUGCAUAAUGUACCCUCUUAUGUUAAUGUUGUGUACUGUGAUCCUGUUUCAGGGACUUGCACUUAGGAAUCUGUUACAGUGAGCACAGAAGCAGACCUGUGGGCUCAUAGUCUUCACCCCCCACCCAUAUAUACAAGAUGAACAGAGUGGAGGUUAAACAACUUGACUAAACAACACAGUUCAUGGUAAAGCCCAAGACUGUACCUGCCCAUCCACUGCCUUUUCCAUGUAUCCUGGAACUGAGCAUAGACCUCUUCCCAGGCAGAGCUGACAGCAAGUAAAGGAGAUCAUAAUCAGGGGACCAAACAACUUUGUCUAAAGUGUGAAUGUCACCUAAGGAGAAGCUGUGAGAUCAGAAGGGUGGGGCAGAGGAGCAGACACCAUGAGGGAGAGUCCUUGGGGGUACAUCUGCCAGACUGACACUGUCUGGCCUGGGCAGUGGAGGGGCUAGCAGGAACCACAGGUACUGGUGGUGUGGCUACUACCGUUACAACUGCCUGUGCUUGGACAUGGACCCUCUGCAAUAUGCGGCAGUUUCAUUCAUUGCCCCCUACAUUCUACACCAAGUAGAAAUGGAAGGCAAUUGGAUACUUCACAGACAAGAUCUAAGUGGAGAAGGAAUGCGUCCUGUGGCUGCAGAGAUCCUUGGAGCUUGGAGGGGAGAGCUUGAGCCCCACUGAUGAUGACCUCCCACAGCUCGCCAACUCAGCCCUCCCUAAGUCCCCAUCGGGGGCCAAUUCUCACUCUGGGGUUGGGGGGACUCCACCAUAGCUCAUCCAUCAUAGGGAUGUUGGUAUCUACUGUGGGUUGGGUAGGGCCGAUGUGCUGAGGAUGGCUCCCCCACAAGCAAGAGAUGUGGAUUUGGGGAGCUUCCCAUCUUGUGUUGAAGGAACAUAACUCAGAAUAAUAAGAGCCAACUAUAACAAACCCACAGCCAACAUCAUACUGAAUGGGCAAAAGCUGCAGGCAUUCCCCUUGAAAAGUGGCACAGGAUAAGGAAGCCCUUUCUCACCACUCCUAUUCAAUAUAGUGUUGAAAGUCCUGAUCACAGCAGUCAGGCAACAGAAAUAAUAAAGGGCAUCCAAAUAGGAAGAGAGGAAGUCAAACUAUCCUUGUUUGCAGACAGUAUGAUUCUAUAUCUAGAAAACCCCAUAGCCUCAGCCCAAAAGGUCCUUCAUCUGAUAAUUUCAGCAAAGUUUCAGGAGACAAAAUCAGUGUACAAAAAUCACUAACAUUCCUAUACACAGUCGCCAAGCCAAGAGCCAAAUCAGGAGCACAAUCCCAUUCAUAAUUGCCACAAAAAAGAAUAAAAUACCCAGGAAUGCAGCUAACCAAGGAAGUAAAGGAUCUCUACAAUGAGAAUCACAAACGCUGCUCAAAGAAAUCAGAGAUGACACAAACAAAUGGAAAAACUUUCCAUGCUCAUGGCUAGGAAGAAUCAAUAUCAUUAAAGUGGCCAUACUACCCAAAGCAAUUUAUAGAUUCAAUGCUAUUCCUAUCAAACUAUCAAUUACAUUUUUCACAGAACUAGAAAAAACUUAAAAUUCAUAUGGAACCAAAAAGCCUGAGUAGUCAAGGCAAUCCUAAACAAAAAGAACAAAGGUGGAGGCAUCACAUUACCUAACUUCAAACUACAGGGCUACCAUGACCAAAACAGCAUGGUACUGGUACAAAAGCAGACACACAGACCAGUGGGACAGAAUAGAGAGCCCAAAAAUAAGGCCACAAACCUACAGCCAUCUGAUCUUCAACAAAGUUGACAAAAACAAGCAAUGGGGAAAGGUCUCCCUAUUCAAUAAAUGGUGCUGGGAUAACUGGCUGGCCAUAUGCAGAAGAUCGUAACUGGACCCCUUUUACUAUGUACAAAAAUUAAGAUGGUUUAAAGAGUUAAAACCCAAAAUUAUAAAAAUCCUGAAGAUAACUUAGGCAAUACCAUUCUGGACAUAGGAACUGGCAAAUAUUUCAUGAUGAAGACACCAAAAGCAAUUGUAACAAAAGCAAAAAUGGACAAAUUGGAUUUAAGAGCUUUUUCAUAGCAAAAUAAACAACAGGGCAGACAAUCUACCAAAUGACAGAAAAUUUUUGCAAACUAUGCAUCUGACAAGGGGCUAAUAUCUAGCAUCUAUAAGGAAUUUAAACACAGUUACAGG
This 8477-nucleotide long non-coding RNA is filed under the name Homo sapiens (human). RNAcentral describes it as "long non-coding RNA NONHSAT118305.2". Lineage: Eukaryota; Metazoa; Chordata; Mammalia; Primates; Hominidae. The record is from RNAcentral.